Molecule: non-coding RNA, 29 nt
Filed under: Rattus norvegicus (Norway rat)
Lineage: Eukaryota; Metazoa; Chordata; Mammalia; Rodentia; Muridae
Source: RNAcentral
UUUCUGUUCUUGCAUGGGCCUUUUGCGUU